GCCAUUGGACGAGGACGAGGUGAUCUCCUACAUCAUCGUCGGUCUUCACAAGGAAUACCAGCCCCCCUGGUGUCGACUCUCGAUGCCCGCACUGAGGCGGUCUCCCCGAUGAUCUCUUUGCUCAAAUGAGUAAUUUUGAUC
Molecule: non-coding RNA, 141 nt
Organism: Triticum urartu
Lineage: Eukaryota; Viridiplantae; Streptophyta; Magnoliopsida; Poales; Poaceae
Source: Rfam